Molecule: microRNA precursor, 97 nt
Filed under: Nicotiana attenuata
Lineage: Eukaryota; Viridiplantae; Streptophyta; Magnoliopsida; Solanales; Solanaceae
Description: MIR6152 microRNA precursor family
Rfam family: MIR6152 microRNA precursor family
Source: Rfam by way of RNAcentral
UGGACAGAUUAUUAUAUUCGACUGUAUUCACGGCGAGAAAUAGGGGAUUACACUGUUUUUAAAACGGAAAGUGAAUCAAUUAACAUAAUAGACUCCU